Molecule: non-coding RNA, 31 nt
Filed under: Rattus norvegicus (Norway rat)
Lineage: Eukaryota; Metazoa; Chordata; Mammalia; Rodentia; Muridae
Source: RNAcentral
ACACAGUGGAAAGGAACUGUGCUGGAUCAGG